This 521-nucleotide ribosomal RNA is filed under the name uncultured Gammaproteobacteria bacterium. Its description in RNAcentral is "partial 16S ribosomal RNA". It matches the Rfam family "Bacterial small subunit ribosomal RNA", at positions 360 to 872 of the family's 1533-position model. Lineage: Bacteria; Pseudomonadati; Pseudomonadota; Gammaproteobacteria. The record is from RNAcentral.
AAUAUUGGACAAUGGGCGCAAGCCUGAUCCAUCCUUUUCGCGUGAGUGAAGAAGGCCCUCGGGUUGUAAAGAUUUUUUUUCCCGAAAGAAAAGCAUUUGGUUAAUACCCGGGGGGGAUGACGGUACCGGAAGAAUAAACCCCGGGUAAAUUUGUGCCAGCAGCCGCGGUAAUACGAAGGGGGCAAGCGUUUUUUGGAAUUACUGGGGGUAAAAAGUGCGUAGGGGGUUUUUUAAGUCUGAUGUGAAAACCCCGGGCUCAACCUGGGAAAUGCAUUGGAAACUGGCGAUCUGGAGUGCGGUAGAGGGAGGCGGAAUUCCCGGUGUAGCAGUGAAAUGUGUAGAGAUAGGGAGGAACACCCGUGGCGAAAGCGGCACCCUGGACCAGCACUGACACUGAGGCACGAAAGCGUGGGGAGCAAACACGAUUAGAUACCCCGGUAGUGCACGCCCUAAACGAUGCGAACUGGAUGUGGGGUGCAACUAGGCACUCAGUAUCGAAGCUAACGCGUUAAGUACUCCGC